CCCGCUGAACUUAAGCAUAUCAAUAAGCGGAGGAAAAGAAACUAACAAGGAUUCCCCUAGUAACGGCGAGCGAAGCGGGAAUAGCUCAAAUUUAAAAGCUGGCGGGUUCCCCGUCCGCAUUGUAGUCUAAAGAAGCGUUUUCGGCGGCUGUCCAGGUAUAAAUCCUUUGGAACAGGGUAUCAUAGAGGGUGAGAAUCCCGUCUUUGACCUGGUACGUGCUGCUAUGUGAUACGUUUUCUAAGAGUCGGGUUGUUUGGGAAUGCAGCCCAAAAUGGGUGGUAAAUUUCAUCUAAGGCUAAAUAUUGGCGAGAGACCGAUAGCGAACAAGUACCGUGAGGGAAAGAUGAAAAGAACUUUGGAAAGAGAGUUAAACAGUACGUGAAAUUGCUGAAAGGGAAACGCUUGAAGUCAGUCACGUUGACUUGGAAUCAGCUCUGCUUUUGCUGGGUGUACUUUCUUGUCAAUGGGUCAGCAUCAAUUUUGACCAUUGGAUAAAGUUGCUGGGAAUGUAGCAUCCUUUUGGAUGUGUUAUAGCCUGGUGAUGCAUACAGUGGUUGGGAUUGAGGAAUUCAGCACGCCACCAGGCCGGGUUUUGACCACGUUCGUGCUUAGGAUGCUGGCAUAAUGGCUUUAAUUGACCCGUCUUGAAACACGG
This 655-nucleotide ribosomal RNA is filed under the name uncultured fungus. RNAcentral's name for it is "eukaryotic LSU rRNA". It matches the Rfam family "Eukaryotic large subunit ribosomal RNA", at positions 24 to 664 of the family's 3401-position model. Lineage: Eukaryota; Fungi. The record is from RNAcentral.